This 118-nucleotide ribosomal RNA is filed under the name Pteropus alecto (black flying fox). The record is from RNAcentral. Lineage: Eukaryota; Metazoa; Chordata; Mammalia; Chiroptera; Pteropodidae.
GUCUAUGGCCAUGCCACCAUGAACAAGCUCCAUCCCCUCUAUUUCUGAAGCUAAGCAGGGUUGGGCCUGUUUCGUACUUCUAUGAGAGACCACCUAGGAAGACCAGGCGCUAUAGGCG